AGAGGCGAGGGUUCUGGGGUUUCUGGGACUGUCUGGUGUGUUUUCUGUCUAUUGAACCCUUUCCUUUCGACGUCUCUUCUGAAUAUUGACUCAUCGGGUUGUAGAAAUCCAGGGACAGAGUUGACAUCACUGGGCAUUUUAGCCAAAAAGCAGUGCUCGGGACUGCAUGUGCCAGAAGUAAACUUGUCAAAACUCAGAUUGUGUUUCCCCUAAAGUCAGCUUAAAGUGCAAUGGUAGAAGAGCACGGUCUCUCCCCAAGACGGCCUGAGCUUAAACUGCAGCGCUGUCACUUGCUAGCUAUGGGACCUAGGCAAAUACAUCGUCUCCCUGAGGUUGUCUUCUCAUCUGUAAAGGACGCUGUGGUGGUGGUGUGAGAAUAAAUGAGACAUGGCAAGUGUC
This 399-nucleotide long non-coding RNA is filed under the name Homo sapiens (human). Its description in RNAcentral is "non-protein coding lnc-CISD2-12:1". The record is from RNAcentral. Lineage: Eukaryota; Metazoa; Chordata; Mammalia; Primates; Hominidae.